UACGUAGGUGGCGAGCGUUAUCCGGAAUGAUUGGGCGUAAAGGGUGCGUAGGCGGCCUGCUAAGUCUGGAGUGAAAGGUACCGGCUCAACCGGUACAGGCUCUGGAAACUGGCAGUCUUGAGUACAGUAGAGGUGGGCGGAAUUCGUGGUGUAGCGGUGAAAUGCUUAGAUAUCACGAAGAACUCCGAUUGCGAAGGCAGCUCACUGGACUGCAACUGACACUGAGGCUCGAAAGUGUGGGUAUCAAACAGG
RNAcentral lists this ribosomal RNA (252 nucleotides) under uncultured bacterium. RNAcentral describes it as "partial 16S ribosomal RNA". It matches the Rfam family "Bacterial small subunit ribosomal RNA", at positions 524 to 776 of the family's 1533-position model. The record is from RNAcentral.